This 497-nucleotide ribosomal RNA is filed under the name uncultured bacterium. Its description in RNAcentral is "bacterial SSU rRNA". It matches the Rfam family "Bacterial small subunit ribosomal RNA", at positions 21 to 507 of the family's 1533-position model. The record is from RNAcentral.
GGCUCAGGAUGAACGCUAGCUACAGGCUUAACACAUGCAAGUCGCGGGGCAGCAUUUCCUUAGCUUGCUAAGGAAGAUGGCGACCGGCGCACGGGUGAGUAACGCGUAUCCAACCUUCCCAUGUCCACGGGAUAGCCCGUCGAAAGGCGGAUUAAUACCGUAUGAGGUCACAUGCGGGCAUCUAAGUGUGACGAAAGGUUUUGCGGACAUGGAUGGGGAUGCGUCCGAUUAGUUAGUUGGUGGGGUAAUGGCCUACCAAGACGAUGAUACGUAGCCGACCUGAGAGGGUGAUCGGCCACAUUGGGACUGAGACACGGUCCAAACUCCUACGGGAGGCAGCAGUGAGGAAUAUUGGUCAAUGGGCGAGAGCCUGAACCAGCCAAGUAGCGUGCAGGAAGACGGCCCUAUGGGUUGUAAACUGCUUUUAUAAGGGAAUAAAGUGGGUCUCGUGAGACUUUUUGCAUGUACCUUAUGAAUAAGGACCGGCUAAUUCCGUG